This 402-nucleotide ribosomal RNA is filed under the name bacterium. RNAcentral describes it as "partial 16S ribosomal RNA". It matches the Rfam family "Bacterial small subunit ribosomal RNA", at positions 355 to 776 of the family's 1533-position model. The record is from RNAcentral.
UGGGGAAUUUUGCACAAUGGGGGAAACCCUGAUGCAGCGACGCCGCGUGAUUUAGAAGGCCUUCGGGUUGUAAAAAUCUUUUCUAUGGGAAGAAAAUGACAGUACCAUAGGAAUAAGGACCGGCUAAUUCCGUCCCAGCAGCCGCGGUAAAACGUAAGGUCCGAGCGUUUUCCGGAAUCAUUGGGCGUAAAGGGUACGUAGGCGGGUAAGCAAGUUAGAAGUGAAAUCCUAUAGCUCAACUAUAGUAAGCUUUUAAAACUGCCCAUCUUGAGGUAUGGAAAGGAGAGUGGAAUUCCUAGUGUAGCGGUGAAAUGCGCAGAUAUUAGAAGGAAUACCGGUGGCGAAGACGACUUUCUGGCCAUAACCUGACGCUGAGGUACGAGAGCGUGGGUAGCAAAAAGG